GCCCGCCUAGCUCAAUCGGAUAGAGCGUCAGACUUUUACGGCGGACUUUAUAGCUGGAAAUAAUAUCUGAAGGCUGCGAGUUCGACCCUCGCGGUGGGCU
Non-coding RNA from Desarmillaria ectypa, 100 nucleotides. The record is from the annotation of a GenBank genome assembly. NCBI's taxonomy places the organism in Eukaryota, Fungi, Basidiomycota, Agaricomycetes, Agaricales, Physalacriaceae.